Molecule: ribosomal RNA, 503 nt
Filed under: uncultured bacterium
Lineage: Bacteria
Description: bacterial SSU rRNA
Rfam family: Bacterial small subunit ribosomal RNA
Source: RNAcentral
AUUGAACGCUGGCGGCAGGCUUAACACAUGCAAGUCGAGCGGUAACAGGGAGUAGCUUGCUACUCUGCUGACGAGCGGCGGACGGGUGAGUAAUGCCUAGGAAUCUGCCUAGUAGUGGGGGAUAACUUGCCGAAAGGUAAGCUAAUACCGCAUACGUCCUACGGGAGAAAGGAGGGGACCUUCGGGCCUUUCGCUAUUAGAUGAGCCUAGGUCGGAUUAGUUAGUUGGUGAGGUAAUGGCUCACCAAGACCGCGAUCCGUAACUGGUCUGAGAGGAUGAUCAGUCACACUGGAACUGAGACACGGUCCAGACUCCUACGGGAGGCAGCAGUGGGGAAUAUUGGACAAUGGGGGAAACCCUGAUCCAGCCAUGCCGCGUGUGUGAAGAAGGUCUUAGGAUUGUAAAGCACUUUAAGUUGGGAGGAAGGGCAGUUAACUAAUAUUUGACUGUUUUGACGUUACCGACAGAAUAAGCACCGGCUAACUUCGUGCCAGCAGCCGCGG